Molecule: long non-coding RNA, 836 nt
Filed under: Hordeum vulgare
Lineage: Eukaryota; Viridiplantae; Streptophyta; Magnoliopsida; Poales; Poaceae
Description: long non-coding RNA (HVUL_LNC013513)
Source: RNAcentral
CAAAUAAGCAUUUUUUAGAUGGGUUAGUUUUAUAGGUGCAUCUAACCCAAACUAUCCCUCUGUUUGAAUAUUUUUGGAUUAGUUGAGUCCAAACUAACCCAAACUAGCUGUAACGCAGGGAUAGAUGGCUAUAGUAGUCUUCGUUGCGAGAUGUGCCAUCUUCGCGACAUUCCUCGGCAGCAAUGGGAGAUAGGAGGGUCGGGCCUGGCACAACCACCCAAUGCGAUCGAGCCCUUUCCCUGUGCAGCGAGCCAGAUCUAUCUGAUCCAACAAACCACGCCGCUGGCGAGCUUCAACAAGCCGUGCGCCGCCGCACCCAAUCCGUGCAUAGGAAUUGGAAUCCGCGCCGCUGACCUCCACAGACUGGACCAGUUAAACCUGCUGCGAAUUGAAAUGGAAACCAGAGACGUGAGCUCGAGCUAAGAGGGAUGCGCAGUGCUCCUGAAGUCUCGCCGUGCCAGGAAGGAGCGAUUUGAAUUGCGCUCCAGUUGAAACGCACCUAUUUUAUGAGCUGAUGGAAUCUCUGAAUGUGGAGGGCUCAUGCCAAAUGCAGACCGGGUUACAUCAUAAAUACUCUCGGGCUCCAACUCCUUGACAUGCUUGUGGUUUGUUCAUCUCCAAUAUCUCAUAGAAUCAUGUAACUAUUUAAGAAGCUGGGCAUGUCUACCCUCCUGUCUACGAUGAUCCAUCAACCAUAUAUUGGCUAUCUUGACGUACAAAAGUGUUUGCAUAUCUAGCCUGUCAAAAAAACUGUAUUUGUUGGAAAUCAGCAGAGUUUUUUGUAGAGAAACACGGGCAUACACAUAAGAGGUCUUGAGCCUUAGCUAGAGAGCGGG